CGCUUCGAGACCACCGCGUCCCCAUGGCGGGCUCAGCUCGCCUGCGGAUGGCACGACCCGAGUUUCCACACUGACUACUGGGCGUCUGCAGGGUGUCUGGCCACGAAGCCGAAGACUUUGGGUGAGGACGGCAGGACGGCACAGAAGGAAACCGUGGAGAGAGGGCAUGUGUACAACAAAAACUGAGGAUAGGAAAGAUAAUGAGAAGAUGCAAAGUGAUGAUUCAAAGUGAGCAAGAUGUGUAAUUAAAUUGUGUGCAUCCUAG
Long non-coding RNA from Xiphias gladius (swordfish), 265 nucleotides. RefSeq lists it as uncharacterized. The transcript is spliced from 2 exons. NCBI's taxonomy places the organism in Eukaryota, Metazoa, Chordata, Actinopteri, Istiophoriformes, Xiphiidae. The record is from RefSeq and is a predicted model, not a curated record.